Small nuclear RNA from Callithrix jacchus (white-tufted-ear marmoset), 102 nucleotides. NCBI's taxonomy places the organism in Eukaryota, Metazoa, Chordata, Mammalia, Primates, Cebidae. The record is from Ensembl.
GUGCUCGCUUCGGCAGCACAUACACUAAAAUUGGAAUGAUACAGAUUAGCAUGGCCCCUGUGCAAGAAUGACAUGCAAAUUCGUGAAGCGUUCCAUAUAUUU